This 254-nucleotide ribosomal RNA is filed under the name uncultured bacterium. Its description in RNAcentral is "partial 16S ribosomal RNA". It matches the Rfam family "Bacterial small subunit ribosomal RNA", at positions 524 to 776 of the family's 1533-position model. The record is from RNAcentral.
UACGAAGGGGGCUAGCGUUGUUCGGAUUUACUGGGCGUAAAGCGCACGUAGGCGGAUCGUUAAGUCGGGGGGUGAAAUCCUGGAGCUCAACUCCAGAACUGCCCUCGAUACUGGCGAUCUUGAGUCCGGAAGAGGUGAGUGGAACUCCUAGUGUAGAGGUGGAAUUCGUAGAUAUUAGGAAGAACACCAGUGGCGAAGGCGGCUCACUGGUCCGGUACUGACGCUGAGGUGCGAAAGCGUGGGGAGCAAACAGG